Long non-coding RNA from Myotis brandtii (Brandt's bat), 1739 nucleotides. RefSeq lists it as uncharacterized. The transcript is spliced from 3 exons. The record is from RefSeq and is a predicted model, not a curated record. Lineage: Eukaryota; Metazoa; Chordata; Mammalia; Chiroptera; Vespertilionidae.
UGGGAGUGGUGGGGAAAGAUAUAGAGAUCACUUUAUAUUGCUAUAUACAUCAAUAGAGGAAUGUGCCAUCUAGUUGUGGUAAUGAAAGGCCCACAGAAUCGGAAGUGAAAUAAAUAACAGACAAUAGGGCCCCGGGAUCAGAAGUGGGAGGGAGCGCUUCAGGCUGAGAUGGGGGGCAGGGGAGUUGAAGAUUUCAGUAGGUGCGGAGAAGGGGUAGGACCCAGCGGGGAGCCAGAAAUGGGCACCGAGCUGAGGCAGGAAGGGAGAGUGAAUGCAGUGGCAGAUGGUCAGGACAUAUGAGGUUAGCUGGGGAAGGUGCUGGUGCCAGGAAUGGACAGAAAGAUGGGAGAUUCCAAAGCAGGCAGGGGUGAGCCCACAAUUUAGGAACAAAGGGCUCAGGCCCUGUACACUGGGGGAAGGAAGGGGUGACGGGAGAGGUGGGCCACGCACUGCAGUUCAGUGGAGAAAGUACCUUUUUUCUUGGCAGGUCUGUCCCUUGCAGUCCCUUGAGCACUAAGUGGAGAAGGUCCUCGCUGCUUGAAACUGCCCUGCCCAUGGGCAUCCCUGGAGUGCGAAGCAUGCACUAUUAUCAGGAGAGGGCUCUAGUCCCAACGCUACUCAACUUUGUCUUUGGAACAGGUGUUUGCACAGGGGUCUCUGAGCCUGGGGGUUUGAAGUGCAGUGCUAUGAAAAAGACGCGCAAGUACAUGCUGGUCCCCCUCCCUCCCGGGGGCCUUCUAAUUGGCCUCCCUCUGCCCUCCCUUCUCACCUGGUGCAAAGCACAGCCCCAAGAAAAGCUGCCCUCUCCCUUGCAACUAGCUAUAUGGUGUUGUGCAACUUCUCUGGGUUAGAGGAGGUAAUUAACUGUUUUGGUUUAAAAGCCCCCUGCUGGGUUGCAGUCUGCGUGGGAGAAUAAAAAUAAACAAGCGCGAAAGGGAACAGUGUCAUCAAAGGACUCGGAACCUACCUUUCUUCAUUCUGAGGGUGAAAGCACUGCUGUUGGCCACAGGUGCCACGGAUUACCCACGCAGGGCUGCGUCCACUGGCCUUUCAUGCGUUUUUUAAACAAUAAAUCAAGAAUGAUCGGCUCAUAAUUUAAUGAGGCAGCCUUGCCAUGGUUCCAGAUCCGCAUCACCUGUCCUGGCCGGAGCAGUUUGACUGUGACUUUCUUUAGUUCUCAAGCUGGUUUGAGGAACAUUGCUAGAAAUGAUCCAAAUUUGUCCCCUUAAUGUAAAUAUCAAGAACCAGGUGGGUUAGGGUUUUUUUUGUCUGUUUUGUUUUUAAGCCAAAGCCUCUUCACUUCUAUGGAGGAAAACAUUUGUUUCCCUGGCCAUCACCAAAUUUUGGAGGCGAGCUGGGCCCCUUCCGUCCGAGGCCACACUCAGAAUUCUUUACAUUCCUCAGUGCUGAUCAGCCUUCCUGUCAGCCCUGAAGAAAGAAAUCAGGUAGCUGAGUAAGCUCUGUGAUGGCAGAAAGAGACCGUAAAGAAAGAUUUCUUGCAUACACUGAACUGGAUCAUUAUCCUCCCAAACUACUCUGAAGGGAAGAGUCCAAGCCACACAGAAGGAGGUUUCUCUUUGUGGUCUAUUGGAGCAAGCCACAGUUCCUCUGGAUUUGGGUACCGUGGAGAAGGCGGCAGAGCCCAGUGUCAUCUGACCUAGCUCAAGAACACAGAUCUUCUAUAAUUAAAUGUCUCCCUCAACAAAAUGCUAAUAAAACAAUGCAAUGGCUGCACCACA